UAUAGCUGUGAGGCUAUGCCGGUGC
This 25-nucleotide non-coding RNA is filed under the name Mus musculus (house mouse). Lineage: Eukaryota; Metazoa; Chordata; Mammalia; Rodentia; Muridae. The record is from RNAcentral.